GGACCGCCCAACAGGGGCGGGGCGAACGAUUGCAAAAGCUUCGUUGUGCCCCAUGGCCAUACGGACAGCCGGGUCCACUGCCGA
RNAcentral lists this small RNA (84 nucleotides) under unclassified sequences. RNAcentral's name for it is "Streptococcus sRNA SpF59 (ldcC RNA)". It matches the Rfam family "Streptococcus sRNA SpF59 (ldcC RNA)". The record is from Rfam by way of RNAcentral.